CUCCCCUACGCUUCCCACUUUGAUGCUAACUUUCUUCAUGCUCAAGAAGUUUUUGCAUGAGAUUUUUCAUGCCAAAGAGGUCUUCUCCCUCCCUUUCUCACAUCCAAAUUUGAUUUGAUUUUGAUAAAAGAAAGAUUUUAAAAUUGAUUUCAACGCAUUCCUUAUGAAGAGAAUUUGUUCUUAUCCAAAUCACUCCACACGCCACCUUAUUUUUUUCUCCUUAUGUGUGUGACAUUUUGAAGAGAUUUUGCAUAAAAAAAUAGUUGGAUAACUAAUUUAUCAUAAAAAUAUAUGGGAAGGGGUG
Molecule: long non-coding RNA, 304 nt
Filed under: Elaeis guineensis (African oil palm)
Lineage: Eukaryota; Viridiplantae; Streptophyta; Magnoliopsida; Arecales; Arecaceae
Description: long non-coding RNA (EGUI_LNC067065)
Source: RNAcentral